CAGUGUUCUAUUUUCUAAUGAUUAGCAGCAUAGAUAAACGGUUCUAAAGGAUUGUUGCAUAGUAAAUUUCCAGCUCCAGAUGUGUGAAUCAAGACAAGCCAGUAUACAAAUAAAUUUCUAUAGAACAGAUUGUGUUAAUUUAAGAGUGGUUCAGGUCUUGAGACAACUGGUGUAUGUGUCUUUACUAUAAGAAACGGCAAAUAAAUCUAAUUCUAAACUAUUAGCUUUCAGUAUAAAUCUGCAUAUCACUUGCAAGGCAACAGCAAACGUAAAUGUAAAAAAGAACUCAAUAGCACAAAAUAUGAACUCCAAAACACCACAUGAACGGGGCUUACCUAUUGGAGGAGUAAUGAAACCCUAAAGCCUG
This 367-nucleotide long non-coding RNA is filed under the name Olea europaea (common olive). RNAcentral's name for it is "long non-coding RNA (OEUR_LNC006119)". The record is from RNAcentral. Lineage: Eukaryota; Viridiplantae; Streptophyta; Magnoliopsida; Lamiales; Oleaceae.